AAGCAUCUAAGCGGGAAACUGACUUCAAGAUAAGUAUUCUUUUAGACAUCUUCGAGACUAGGAGAUUGAUAGGUUGGGGGUGUAAGAGUAGCAAUGCUUUUAGCUGACCAAUACUAAUAUGUCGAAGUCUUAACCUU
This 137-nucleotide non-coding RNA is filed under the name Cetobacterium ceti. Its description in RNAcentral is "Bacterial large subunit ribosomal RNA". It matches the Rfam family "Bacterial large subunit ribosomal RNA", at positions 2775 to 2925 of the family's 2925-position model. Lineage: Bacteria; Fusobacteriati; Fusobacteriota; Fusobacteriia; Fusobacteriales; Fusobacteriaceae. The record is from Rfam by way of RNAcentral.